This 497-nucleotide ribosomal RNA is filed under the name uncultured bacterium. Its description in RNAcentral is "partial 16S ribosomal RNA". It matches the Rfam family "Bacterial small subunit ribosomal RNA", at positions 28 to 507 of the family's 1533-position model. The record is from RNAcentral.
GAUGAACGCUGGCCGCGUGCCUAAUACAUGCAAGUCGAGCGAACGGACGAGAAGCUUGCUUCUCUGAUGUUAGCGGCGGACGGGUGAGUAACACGUGGAUAACCUACCUAUAAGACUGGGAUAACUUCGGGAAACCGGAGCUAAUACCGGAUAAUAUUUUGAACCGCAUGGUUCAAAAGUAAAAGACGGUCUUGCUGUCACUUAUAGAUGGAUCCGCGCUGCAUUAGCUAGUUGGUAAGGUAACGGCUUACCAAGGCAACGAUGCAUAGCCGACCUGAGAGGGUGAUCGGCCACACUGGAACUGAGACACGGUCCAGACUCCUACGGGAGGCAGCAGUAGGGAAUCUUCCGCAAUGGGCGAAAGCCUGACGGAGCAACGCCGCGUGAGUGAUGAAGGUCUUCGGAUCGUAAAACUCUGUUAUUAGGGAAGAACAUAUGUGUAAGUAACUGUGCACAUCUUGACGGUACCUAAUCAGAAAGCCACGGCUAACUACGUG